AAAGGAAUAUGUUGGUUAACAAUUCUGUCUUCUACCUUAGGAUAUACUACAAGUCCAUCUGAUAUAUUCUGUAAUGUUGAUAUAUCAAUAAAAAAUAAUAAAGAUAUUAUAAUACAAAAUUUACAUAACAAGAAUCCAAGUAGGCAAUAGCAUGUUCAACUGAUCAGUUGAUGAACAGGAAGAAAAUUAAUCGCUUGUAGCAUAUAUUGUCAUAAACUGACUGAUAUUUAUAUAUAUUUUUCUCUCGUUUAUGAAUAGCCUUUCAAAACGCUUAAGUUAAGGGAAACCAACCC
Molecule: long non-coding RNA, 293 nt
Filed under: Mytilus galloprovincialis (Mediterranean mussel)
Lineage: Eukaryota; Metazoa; Mollusca; Bivalvia; Mytilida; Mytilidae
Source: RNAcentral